AUAUCAAUAAGCGGAGGAAAAGAAACCAACAGGGAUUGCCCUAGUAACGGCGAGUGAAGCGGCAACAGCUCAAAUUUGAAAUCUGGCCCUCGGGUCCGAAUUGUAAUUUGUAGAGGAUGCUUUUGGUGAGGUACCUUCCGAGUUCCCUGGAACGGGACGCCAUAGAGGGUGAGAGCCCCGUCUGGUCGGAUACCGAUCCUCUGUAAAGCUCCUUCGACGAGUCGAGUAGUUUGGGAAUGCUGCUCUAAAUGGGAGGUAUAUGUCUUCUAAAGCUAAAUAUUGGCCAGAGACCGAUAGCGCACAAGUAGAGUGAUCGAAAGAUGAAAAGCACUUUGAAAAGAGAGUUAAAAAGUACGUGAAAUUGUUGAAAGGGAAGCGCUCAUGACCAGACUUGGGCUUGGUUGAUCAUCCAGGGUUCUCCCUGGUGCACUCUUCCAGCCCAGGCCAGCAUCAGUUCGCUGUGGGGGAUAAAGGCUUUGGGAAUGUGGCUCCUCCGGGAGUGUUAUAGCCCAUUGUGUAAUACCCUGUGGUGGACUGAGGUUCGCGCAUCUGCAAGGAUGCUGGCGUAAUGGUCAUCAGCGA
RNAcentral lists this ribosomal RNA (582 nucleotides) under uncultured fungus. Its description in RNAcentral is "eukaryotic LSU rRNA". It matches the Rfam family "Eukaryotic large subunit ribosomal RNA", at positions 40 to 647 of the family's 3401-position model. The record is from RNAcentral. Lineage: Eukaryota; Fungi.